AUCGGUAAUUCUCUUGUCUCCAAUAGCGUAUACUAAAGUUGUUGCAGUUAAAAAGCUCGUAGUUGGAUUUCUGCGGGAGCGGGGCGGCACACCUGCUAUGCAGGUCGUAGCUAGCACUUCUCCUGCAUCCUGCCGCGAACCGUGCUACCAUUAGUUUGGUGGCGCCGGGGAUCGGCUCGUUUACUUUGAGAAAAAUAGAGUGUUCAAAGCAGGCCACACGCCUUGAAUAAGUUAGCAUGGAAUAAUGAUUAAGGACUUCGGUUCUAUUUUGUUGGUGUUCGGGACUGAAGUAAUGAUUGAUAGGGACAGUUGGGGCGGUCUGUAUUCCAAAGCGAGAGGUGAAAUUCUUAGACCUUCGGAAGACAAACAGCUGCGAAAGCGUUCCGCAAGGAUGUUCCCUUUGAUCAAAAACGAAAGUUAGGGGAUCGAAGACGAUCAGAUACCGUCGUAGUCUCAACUAUAAACUAUACCAGCUAGAAAUCGGCCAACGUUUCUAUAUACCGACUUGGUCGACACCUUAUGAGAAAUCAAAGCAUCUGGGUUCCGGGGGGAGUAUGGUCGCAAGGCUGAAGCUUAAAGGAAUUGACGGAAGGGCAACCACCAGCCGUGGAGCCUGCGGCUUAAUUUGACUCAACACGGGAAAACUUACCAGGUCCAGACAUAGUAAGGAUUGACAGAUUGAUAGCUCUUUCUUGAUUCUGUGGGUGGUGGUGCAUGUCCGUUCUUAGUUGGUGGAGUGAUUUGUCUGGUUAAUUCCGUUAACGAACAAGACCCCAGCCUGCUAAAUAGCGCGGCUGAGCUUUGCUCAACACGAACUUCUUAGAGGGACUAUGAUGCGCGAUAGCACAUGGAAGUUUAGGGCAAUAACAGGUCUGUGAUGCCCUUAGAUGUUCUAGACCGUACGCGGGCUACACUGGCGCCUACAUCGAGCAUAUCAGCUAACCCAAAAAGGUCUUAGCUAAUCUUUUGAACCAGGCGCCGCUGCUUGGAAUUGACCUUUGCAAUUGUUGGUCAUACAACGAGGAAUACCUUGUAAACGCAAGUCAUCAGCUCGCAUUAAAUAAGUCCCUGCCCCUUGUACACACCGCCCAAGGGCGAAUUUAGAGG
Molecule: ribosomal RNA, 1107 nt
Filed under: uncultured Rhizaria
Lineage: Eukaryota
Description: bacterial SSU rRNA
Rfam family: Eukaryotic small subunit ribosomal RNA
Source: RNAcentral